Molecule: ribosomal RNA, 292 nt
Filed under: uncultured bacterium
Lineage: Bacteria
Description: partial 16S ribosomal RNA
Rfam family: Bacterial small subunit ribosomal RNA
Source: RNAcentral
GUGUCAGCCGCCGCGGUAAUACAGAGGUGGCAAGCGUUGUUCGGAAUUACUGGGCGUAAAGGGCGCGUAGGCGGUCUUGUAAGUCUUGUGUGAAAUCCCUCGGCUUAACUGAGGAACUGCACGGGAUACUGCGAGACUUGAGAUCGGGAGAGGGAAGCGGAAUUCCGGGUGUAGCGGUGAAAUGCGUAGAUAUCCGGAGGAACACCGGUGGCGAAGGCGGCUUCCUGGACCGACACUGACGCUGAGGCGCGAAAGCUAGGGGAGCAAACGGGAUUAGAAACCCUGGUAGUCC